Molecule: ribosomal RNA, 89 nt
Filed under: Theobroma bicolor
Lineage: Eukaryota; Viridiplantae; Streptophyta; Magnoliopsida; Malvales; Malvaceae
Description: partial 5.8S ribosomal RNA
Rfam family: 5.8S ribosomal RNA
About the family: 5.8S ribosomal RNA (5.8S rRNA) is a component of the large subunit of the eukaryotic ribosome.
Source: RNAcentral
GCAUCGAUGAAGAACGUAGCGAAAUGCUAUACUUAGCGUGAAAUACAGAAUCUCGUGAACCAUUAAGUCUUUGAACACAAGUUGCACCC